UGUAAGGUAGUUUAGAAUAACUGUAGUAUUUGGAUCUACAAGCGGUAAUUGAUUUUACUUCUUACAG
Molecule: transfer RNA, 67 nt
Filed under: Falcolipeurus quadripustulatus
Lineage: Eukaryota; Metazoa; Arthropoda; Insecta; Psocodea; Philopteridae
Description: tRNA-Gln
Source: RNAcentral